Molecule: non-coding RNA, 7804 nt
Organism: Struthio camelus australis
Lineage: Eukaryota; Metazoa; Chordata; Aves; Struthioniformes; Struthionidae
Source: RefSeq, a predicted model, not a curated record
CUCAGCACAAUAUGAAAUGGCACAAUGUAUGUCAUACUUGGACAAGGAUAGUUUUAGUAACUUAGCUUGUGUUGUAACAUCAGUGUUAGCUGCCCAAUGAUUUUGACACUGGGGAGGAUUUUAAGAUGAAUCUCCCAUCUCUGUUGGUUAUCCAAACUGCUUGAUUACUCCUUCUAACUCAUCAAGAAUUUUGGGGGGGAAAUUGACUCUUUCAACAGGACCUGUUAAUAACCUGUUAAACCUGGAGUACUAGAGGUUAACAUUUAAAUACCUAAUCUGAAUCAAACAAAAUGCUUUUAUAACUGGAUCACCCACAUCUCAGGUGAGAGCUCUGGUUACAGAAUUAUUCUGGUCUUCAGAAAAUGAUACUGGAAAAGGAAAAAUAGCACCUUGAAAAAUUUCAGUUUUGUCACAGGACUAAGAUAUUUUCUUAAGUAUUGAAUUAUUUUGCAUGGGUGGGUGAACUGUUUCCCACUGAUAUUUAAACUCCCAAGUAUCAGUACUGAAGUACGCAUUAGACAACAACUUCAUUACAGAGGACAGAAAUUUUGUAAUAUUCAAGGAGUAAGAAGGGAAGAACUCAUUUAAGUGAUCUUUUAAAUAUUUUUUUCCCCAGGAAAGUACUCUGCAAAAGACAAGGCCCAUCUAUGUAAUUCUGUGUGAAUGGAUUCUAUAGGUAUCUAUCAGUCUGGAUGGAGAAAAAUAGUUGCCAGGCCAAAGAGAGGAAAUGCAAGUGCUAAGAAGCUAGUAUGCAACAGUUCACCAAGGACAGACAAGCUCUGGAGACUAGCAGAUCUGUUAACUCUGCAAGGACUGAUAUACUCAGAGUUUAUCAUGCGGAGAACAUGCAGAGUCUGCCUAACCCACACAAGACCACUGGCAUGCCUGAAUGUGAGCAAUGGGCUGUGCGACUCAGACCACAUCCAAGAGGUGGCUGCUGUAUACAGACAGAGACUGCAGGGUUACAUACAUACCUGAGGAAACAGAAGACCCUCUGAGGAACUUUGUGAACACCAACUGAGGAUCUGCUAGUGCAUCAGUAUGAUCUUCCACUUGUGAGUGCAUGGUGGAGCUCCCAUCUGUUUUUCCAGCCAGGGGACAUACAGGCAAUUCGUAAGCACUGAGGAAGACUGAAAGAACAUAAAUACAAUCUUGAGGAACGAAUUAUAGUCUCAGAAUCUAUGCUGUCUCUGCAUAUGAAUCCUCCAUCUGAAGGUGAAAGAUUCAGGCUGGCGAGUUGUGAGCAUGAUUACAGAUUGCCUAUGAACUGUGAGCAGUCACUACACUUUUCUUCAAACCUUCAGAUCACAGUUGUUGAGAAGGCUGCAUUUCCAUCCACCUAGUCUAACACAUUGUUCUAGUUAAACUAAAUACAUUUGUGAAGUUGUCUUACAAUUGAAGGAUUUUCUCAUUUUUUCUUUUAUUUUUUGUGAAAGGUGUUUCUUUUUGUGAAAGAGUUUUUGUGUCAUAUGAGGUAUGAGUAGAUGAAUGAAUUUGUUAGAAAUAUAGCGCAGAAGAGUCUCAUGGAUAGAAUUCAACUGCAGCACACUUCAGAUGCCUCAGAGUUAAUCAUGUGAAUGUGAGCUUGUUGAUUGAGACUCGCUCUAUAGGCAAAGAAAUAAUGUUUUGGGGGAGAUUAUCUUGGUUUAUUUUAGGCACGUCAUAAAAAGACAGGGAUUACUCUCUAAAGGUGUGCGGGAUUAGACGAGAGCUUAACGCAGAUGGCUUAGCUGUAGUUAUCUUUCAGAUCCCACCUUUCCUGUGCUCUCCCUCUUUUAUCAGCAGCCUUUCCAUUAUAUAAUUUGUUGUAUAAUUCUUUGAAAAACAAUCAAGUAGUUCUUAGUUCAAGAGUCAAUGAUUAAAUAUCCACCUAUAUUCAUAAGGCCAGUCAGAAAAAAUUGCACUAAUAAUCCUUCAAGCAGAGUAUGUGCAAUUUUAGACUCCGAGAAGGAGAUAAAAGGAACUGGUGAUAGACAGAAAAAUUAAGAAGGCAGAUAUUCAUUUAUUUUCAUUGUAAAUUUUUUUUGUAAAUUAUUCUGGAAUAAAACAGUGAUUCAUUCCUUUAAAGUACUAGAUUUUAAACAAGUGGAUGAGACACAUGACUGUAAUUUGCCCAAGCUCAGGAAGUUUUUUUAAUAUUUUAUAAUUUCUUUUUUGUUGUAAACAAAAAUUUACAAUUUUUGAAUUUACAAUUAAAAUGAAAGGAAACAAUAAAGCAAGCCUACCCUAGAAAAGAAAUGGAAUGAAGUGGCUUGGUCUGAAGUUUUUCAGAUGAUUAAAAAGCUUUGGGAGAGCUCCGCGCAUUUCGUACGCUUCUAGACAGUACUGUAAUUUGAUUUCCUUCAUUGUGUUUGAAUGAUCAAUAUUUAGAAAAAGAAUACAAAAGGCAAUACUUGGUAGAUGAACAUGGACAUACUUCCGUUACAGCACGGAUACAAUGUCCUUCACUGGUCUUUGUUUCCCCGCCACUAGCUUGUGCAAUAUGCAUGUUUCCUUGACAGAGAGGUAUUUGUAACCACAUAGCUGUAUAGCUUCUCAUUCCCACCUGGGAGAGGGCAGAUCUGCACUGGUAUUCGUGAUAUUAACACUUACAUUCAUUCUCUGGAGUGAAGAAUACCAGCCAGACACUUGUGUGCUACUUCUAUUGCAUUGUUUCCAGGCCCAUGCUCAAUUUAUCCACAAAACCGCACAGGAAUAGUCUAGUAAGACCUCAGUGGUUUCAUCUCAUCCCAUCUACAACUGCUAUUGCAUUUCACUGAAUAAGUCUCUAAGUAAAACACAACAUACAUACUAUGGGAUGCAAAACCAAAGCCUUCUGCAAGGAAAGUAAAAAAUAUUUGAUUAUAUUUUACCACAGAUUAUUUUUUGUUCAUAUCUCACCACCUACAGGGCCAGAAAAAUUACUCUGGAAAUACUUCUUUUUUUAGCAUGCUUAGAUUUUCCCAGCUGUGUAUGUUAUGAGAAGUCAUUUCUAAAUGUACUGAAACUAGUAUGCAGCUUGUGGGCAACUGAUUCUUUAUUUAAGAGUGUUAACAUGUCUGUCACUGUGCUUAUGGCUUUUUUGUCUUUUAAAAGAGAAGAAAUAGAUCUGCUCCACCUGAAAAUUGAUUUUUUUUUUUUAUUUUCUCCUUGUCAGGAAAUGAUGAUUCACUGAUGCUGCAGGUUUUUAUUUUUAGGCAGAGGUACUUAAAACAAGGUUUGGGAAGAGGGCAGGGAGGGAAAAGACAAGAGAGAUAGGAUUUAUUUUUCUUAUUUUGUAUUUGUUUAUCAUGCUGGACACACAUGUAGUUUUAAUAUGUUUAAAUUUGUAGGUUAUUUACUUUGAGGUAUAAUUUUGAAUUCAAGAAUACACAUAUGCAUAUACAUUAUAAAUGAUAUUCUGCUAGUCAUUAGUGUAAACUAUGACCAGAGCAUGAGUUUUGAACCUCUAAUUAAAGAUAUUUUAUUCCCCAAGCAUAUUUCUAUAUUCUUUCAGUGUGGACUAACAGAAUAAACACAGCUUUGCAGAGUUGUGUAAAUAUCUCUAUUCCAUUAUAGUUGGAUGAUGUAGUUCAGAUAAAUAACUAAUGAAAAUGAAACAAACAAGAGCCAUGUAAAAAAUAUUUUAAUUAAGAAACGAAUGUGUCUGAAUAAGCAUUGUUAUGGAUUUGAGUACGUUGUACUGAUACAUUCUAAAUGUUAUGAUAUUAUGAUUUUGUUAACAGACCAACUACUUCAAUAUUUUCAUAUUUUUAAAGCAUCAGUAGUUUUAACCCAACAAAUGGCUAGACGUUCUAGCAGUGAACAAAAGAAAGAGUAAAUUAAGAUAGAGUAUUUUGCAACUCACAUGUUGCUCAGGGUCAUGAGAUCUGUUGCCUACCAUAUGGGAAGGAAAGGGCUCAUCCCCUGUUACUUUUGUGGCCUGUUCCCUGCUGCUUCUGUUUUCUACUUUAGGGGAACCAAAUAUCCUGCUAGCAUUUUGUCUUGUUAAUAUUCCACAACAGCACAUUUGCUGGUCCACAUAAACCUACCUAAUAGGUCAAACUUCAGGGGAUUCAUCUUUCUGUACAGUGUGCAGAGGUAUUAUCCCUCAUUGACACAGUAUGGGUUUCUUGCGCAAUAUUGCUGUUUUUAUAAAUGUAAAGAGAGAUAUGUACACUUUAGGUCUUGUUAUAUUUUCUGGGUCUGAUUUACAGAAAAACAGCUAAAUAACCACAAUAAUAAAUCUAUCUAAUGCAAAAGCAUGUUUGAAAUCACAGUAUGUGGUUUGUUGUACAGUAAACUUUACCAAAAAGAGCUUUCUAAAUGUCAGCUUUCAUUGAAAUACUGUGAAGAAAUCCUUUGGGAGCUGUAAAAAAUGUUGCAUUAUAAAUAAAUGUACAGGAAAGUACUUAUAAAUAAUUUUAAAAUUAUGACCACUGCCAAACUGGUAGCGUGCUUGCAACUCUCUUGAGAACUGUGUUUUGGACAGUUGAGCUCUAACUUAAUCAAAGAUUUAACUGAAAUUUUUUCCUAUAUGGAAGAUUCACUGCUACUUCCAGCUCUUCAGAAAGCUGUUCACGGUUGUUGUUUUUGUUGGUUUUUUUUUUCAGUUUUGUUUUGUUCUAAGUUUAAAGAACACUUAAAAGUUUGGUUUGGAUAAAACUAAGCAACCAUCACAGAGCGCCUUAGGUCAUCCAGGCCAGUUUCAUCAGGGACAGUCUCUUGUUCAUUUUGUACCAUCAGAAGUGAUCACACAAGCCUCCAAAAGUAUGAGGAUGCUUCCUGCUUUAUCAGGGCUAAAAUCAGGCAUUAUAACAUCAGGUCCAGCCACCGUUCUGUUUAACAGAAAGCUCCCAGCUACAGGCCCUUUAUCAGCAUUCAUUUCUGAAUGUAUUUUCUAUUCAAAUACAUUUUUCAAUGAGAGAAUUCUUCUCUCAGCUGCUCGGAAGUUUGGCCAAUAUGGUAUGCAUACAGGUAUACGUGUGUAUAUAAAUUAACUAUAUGCAAGCUUAGCUAGGCUUUCUGGAAUUUUGGCCUGUUCUGCCUUAAGUGUUGCUGUUGGGAACAAUUGCUGAGCCUCCUUACAUUAGUGAGAAGGGUGAUCCAAGAGGAACAGCUUCGUAGAACAAAACAGAUGGUACUGAGGACCUGAUAUUCACCCUAUAUGCAUUUUGAAGGAUUUCACUUCAGACUUGCUCUAGUUUAGUCCCAGGGAUGGAUUACCAAUUAUCAGUUUAAGCACUUUAAAGGUGAUCCUGGAGCUCUUUUUCUCACUUUAUUUUCAUCUGGAAGGCAUCCAGUUCAUGAACUUCAAAACAGUUUGGUGGUUUGAAACAAAGAUUGUUACUCAGAAACAAUUAGUAUACUCAUUUUGAAAGUGUCAUACUGAUUGAAACUAAAAUGCUAAUAUAGAGGAAACCAGAGAGACACCCGUACCCCAGUUUUCUUAAGCCUUUAAUGUUAAGUUGUUUGAAGUUAUAUUAAAGGCUCAGCUGUAGCUUCCUUACACGAGAUCUCACUACUUGCUAGCUUGGCGCACUACUCAGACGGGACAUAGGUGGGACCACUGUAUGAAUUCUGAGUCUGCAUCUGUGUUUAUAAUCAGUUAGAUUCACAGAAAUGUUAAAUUUACUUGAACAAGGAUAAAUAUAUUCAAGUAAAUAUCAAUGUAUAUUGUAAUAGAGCUGUAAUUUUAACAAUGAAUAGAAAACCAUAUUGAAUUAAUUUGCAUCACAAAUGUGUGGAAUAAGUAAAGGAAUAAAAUAAUAAAAUCUACAACAGAGAUGAACAGAAUAACUAAGUAGUCUGGUAAAAUAAAAAAUCUAUAAAGGACAAGUAGAUAGUAUUCCUGAUUUUAUUCUUGAUAUAGUCUGCAUGGAGUGCUAGUUUUAGCUGGACUGAUUUAUAGUAUGGCCUAUCAUAUGAUCAAAUGAGUGAAAACCUUGGUUAACUGAAAUCUAUGACUAAAAAGAAAACUAUAAGUGAAGCAACAUCAAUGAGGAGAGUAGACUUCGGCCUGUUUAGGGACUGACUUGGAAGAUUCCUAUUAGAGACAGUUCUGAAGAGAAUUCCAGAAGAACUAGUUAAUUUACACUGAUUGCCUCUUGCAAGCUUCAGUGAUCCAUCACAAUGAACAGGAAAUCAAGAAAAGCAGGAGACCUGCAUGGUUGAACAAGGUGCUUCUAACUAACCUGCAAACUGAAAAGGAGGUAGAAAAGAGCAGAGAGCAGAUACAAGUGACCCGGGAGGAAUACAGAGACACUAUGGGAUGUGCAUGUAGGGAUGGGGUUAGGCUAGUAAAAGCGCACCUGGAGUUGAAUCUGGCAAUAUGAAAGACUAAAAGAAGAGCUUCUACAGGUAUCUCAGCAGCAAAAGGAAGACUAGGGAAAACGUGGGCCCACUGCUAAAUGGGGCAGGACCCCUCGUGACAAAGGACAUGGGGAAGGCCAAGGUACUCUAUGCCUUCUUUGCUUCAGUAAUGUGGACUUGCUAAAAGAUUUAAGAGAUGACAGGAGUAAUUCAAAGAAGGCUUGUGAACAGAAGAUAAAUGAAUACACUGACACUUUACUGGCUAAUUCUGCAAUAAUGUAAAAACAUCUCCAAACACUCCUGCUCCAUACCUCUACAUACUUUAACAGUAUAUUAAAGCAUCUUUCCUCCAGAGCAUAUCUUCACUUCUACUAGGAAAGGCAGUUUGUAAAAACGGAGCAGAGACAGCAAAGCAGCAAUAGGAAGAAACCAGACUAACUAACACUGCCUCCUUUUCUGAAUUUCUUUAUGUUCCUAGAAACUAGCCCAUCUGAUAGAGCUGUUCUGUCUUGCAACAAAUGUCUUCCAAGCCCCAAAGUAAUUUUAUAUUGAUGUAAUAUUAUUUUUUCACUUUUGUUUCUUACGUCUUCCUAGCCACGUGAUGAUUCUCCUCCGCUUCUUUUCCCCUUGCCCAGUAGGUUUUGUGAUGAGAGAAAUACCUCAAAGCUGUGGAAUCUGUUAGCUGUCUGCACUGUCGUAUAUCAAAAUCUUACCGAUCAGCUUGGUAUAUCAUGUACCUCUUCCGCUACAACUGAUGUUCUUAUAAACCUCUUAAAAGCACACGUUCCUAUGCCUAAUGUCUUUCCCUCAGUUGUCCCUACUUGUUGACUCCACACUCCUUUUCCUCCUCAUAUUCGUAAUGUUCUCAUCUGUUCCGUAGUGCCUAUCUUUUUUUUUUAUUGUAUUAUUCCUCUAUGACAGAUAAAAAUUUAACUGAAAAAAAAUUAUGUGAAUUACCAUUAAAGCUGCGGAUUUCAUAGCUUAUUUCCUUCCUUCCCCGUCCUUAUCCUCUGCUGAUUCUUUCUUUUGUUUUGCUUUCUGUCAUAUUAUUAUAGUUAUAUGUAAUGAAACUUUUUGGGGCAGGGAUUAUGGCUAAUUUUUCUGUUUGUAUAAUAUCUUAGAGUACUGACAGAUUAAAUAACAAUAUCUAGGGUAGGCAAGGUAGCUUAAGAGAGGAAAAUAAAUUUCAGGAAAAUAUGAUUGCCUUCAUAGAGCAUUUGCUCAGAAAGAGAACUGCUUUUGUUUUAUCACCAAAGUAUAAUGAUAGAUCUCCCACUAACUUUAAUAUAUGAAGGUCACAGAGUAGAAUUUAUUUUAGAGUUUAAAGUUCUUGAGAUGUGUUCUCCCUAACCCCUUCCAUAAAAAUCCCCUUUUUCAUUUUGAAGAGCUGCAAUGGAUUUGAUUUUAAUUUUAAGCAUAAAUUGAAAUGGUAGAAGAAGUGUUUUUGCAGCGAUUUUGAAAAAGAAGACUUUUUAAUACCUCAGCAGAAUGACCUGCACUUCAUUGGGUCCUAAUCUUUGUUCUGCCUAUCUUA